ACUCAAUCACGAAAUUUUGGAUAUAUGCGUGUGUGCGGAUGUGGGUUUUUCUUAGAAUUUACGCUCAGACUGUAUUAAACUAUGUGGUGUAUGGGUUUUUUUCUUGAAUUUAUGUUGAAACUAUUUUUAAACUUCGGGUGUUGUCGUCUCCUAAUUCUUUUAUUUCUUUGAAUGUAUUUUUCAUUAUUUUGUAUUUAAUGUCGGUUGUUCAUGGAAAGUUGUUAAAAGGUUAAACCCUAACCUUAAGGGUCUCCCACCACCCCUAUCCUGGAGUAUCGUGAGGGAGGUAAAUCGUAGGUUAUGCCUCCAAGGGUACAGGGUGGAAGGCUGCUUGUACACUUACACUUACCCAAUAGCCAAAUUCAUAUUUCAGGAUUCGAACCCUUGACGCAGCAGCCUCAAGCAAAGCUGGAUUUCUCCACCCUCCCCUUUUACCACUUGGAGAUGUGCCCUA
This 454-nucleotide long non-coding RNA is filed under the name Olea europaea subsp. europaea. Lineage: Eukaryota; Viridiplantae; Streptophyta; Magnoliopsida; Lamiales; Oleaceae. The record is from RNAcentral.